AUUGAACGCUGGCGGCAGGCCUAACACAUGCAAGUCGGACGGUAGCACAGGGGAGCUUGCUCCUCGGGUGACGAGUGGCGGACGGGUGAGUAAUGUCUGGGGAUCUGCCCGAUAGAGGGGGAUAACCACUGGAAACGGUGGCUAAUACCGCAUAAUGUCGCAAGACCAAAGAGGGGGACCUUCGGGCCUCUCACUAUCGGAUGAACCCAGAUGGGAUUAGCUAGUAGGCGGGGUAACGGCCCACCUAGGCGACGAUCCCUAGCUGGUCUGAGAGGAUGACCAGCCACACUGGAACUGAGACACGGUCCAGACUCCUACGGGAGGCAGCAGUGGGGAAUAUUGCACAAUGGGCGCAAGCCUGAUGCAGCCAUGCCGCGUGUAUGAAGAAGGCCUUCGGGUUGUAAAGUACUUUCAGCGGAGAGGAAGGCGAUGUGGUUAAUAACCGCGUCGAUUGACGCUACCCGCAGAAGAAGCACCGGCUAACUCCGUGCCAGCCGCCGCCGUAA
This 506-nucleotide ribosomal RNA is filed under the name uncultured bacterium. Its description in RNAcentral is "partial 16S ribosomal RNA". It matches the Rfam family "Bacterial small subunit ribosomal RNA", at positions 29 to 523 of the family's 1533-position model. The record is from RNAcentral.